Lampris incognitus (smalleye Pacific opah) is the source of this 718-nucleotide non-coding RNA. The record is from the annotation of a RefSeq genome assembly. Lineage: Eukaryota; Metazoa; Chordata; Actinopteri; Lampriformes; Lampridae.
AUGAAUGGAGUAAAUGAAGGCAGCAGCAGCAGCAGCAGAGCCAUGUGGACAUGCAGUAAAACAGCUGCUAGUGGGUCUAGUGAAGGACACAGAGGUGAGUCUGCUGUCACCAUGACAACCUGCUGCACACUGACUCUGACCAUACAGGCUGACAAGCAGACACACACAUUUACCAUCACCAGCAGGCUCAAUAUGGACAACAACCAACACACAAAGCCCACAUUGGCUGCUAUGUGCUUUGAAUGCAGAGCUCAGAAAGACAACGUGCUCCAACCCAAAGGAGAUGUGACUGUUAGUGAGGGAGAGACAGUAACACUGGACUGUCACUAUAACACCAGUGACUCAAAUACAAAUCUUUUCUGGUACAGACAGGCUGCAGACGACAAGCCCACAUUCAUUCUGAGCCGCUUUACUUUUGGAUCAGGGGACACAGCGGACGGGUUCAAGGAGAGAUUUGAUUCCAGCCUGGAUUCCAGCUCAAGAUCAGUUCCUCUGAAGAUCCAGAGUCUGCAGCUGUCUGACUCUGCUGUGUACUACUGUGCUCUGAGGCCCACAGUGACAGGAAACUGCAAGACGUACUACAAAAACCAUUGGAGUGUCUAUCAAGAAUCCAGAGACAAAACAAUGUUAAACCACAUCCACUAGAGGGCAGUAUUCACAUUUUAAUCUCAUCGGCUACUUGUUGAAGAAAAACACAUUGGACAGUUUGACAGGUCAC